CUUACCAUGCAGUCGAACGGUGAUGGAGAGCUUGCUCUUCGGAUCAGUGGCGAACGGGUGAGUAACACGUGAGUAACCUGCCCCUGACUCUGGGAUAAGCGUUGGAAACGACGUCUAAUACCGGAUAUGUCCUUCGAAGGCAUCUUCGUUGGUGGAAAGAAUUUCGGUUGGGGAUGGACUCGCGGCCUAUCAGCUUGUUGGUGAGGUAAUGGCUCACCAAGGCGACGACGGGUAGCCGGCCUGAGAGGGUGACCGGCCACACUGGGACUGAGACACGGCCCAGACUCCUACGGGAGGCAGCAGUGGGGAAUAUUGCACAAUGGGCGCAAGCCUGAUGCAGCAACGCCGCGUGAGGGACGACGGCCUUCGGGUUGUAAACCUCUUUUGGCAGGGAAGAAGCGAAAGUGACGGUACCUGCAGAAAAAGCACCGGCUAACUACGUGCCAGCAGCCGCGGUAAUACGUAGGGUGCAAGCGUUGUCCGGAAUUAUUGGGCGUAAAGAGCUCGUAGGCGGUUUGUCGCGUCUGCUGUGAAAACGCGAGGCUCAACCUCGCGCCUGCAGUGGGUACGGGCAGACUAGAGUGUGGUAGGGGAGAUUGGAAUUCCUGGUGUAGCGGGUGGAAUGCGCAGAUAUCAGGAGGAACACCGAUGGCGAAGGCAGAUCUCUGGGCCAUUACUGACGCUGAGGAGCGAAAGCGUGGGGAGCGAACAGGAUUAGAUACCCUGGUAGUCCACGCCGUAACGUUGGGAAACUAGAUGUGGGGGUCCAUCAACGGAAUCCGUGUCGCAGCUACGC
RNAcentral lists this ribosomal RNA (796 nucleotides) under Amnibacterium sp. RNAcentral describes it as "bacterial SSU rRNA". It matches the Rfam family "Bacterial small subunit ribosomal RNA", at positions 48 to 858 of the family's 1533-position model. The record is from RNAcentral. Lineage: Bacteria; Bacillati; Actinomycetota; Actinomycetes; Micrococcales; Microbacteriaceae.